UGGGGAAUCUUGCACAAUGGGCGAAAGCCUGAUGCAGCGACGCCGCGUGGGGGAUGAAGCUUCUCGGAGUGUAAACCCCUUUCGAUCCGGACGAAUACCUCGCAAGAGGGGUGACGGUACGGAUAUAAGAAGCCCCGGCUAACUACGUGCCAGCAGCCGCGGUAAGACGUAGGGGGCCAGCGUUGUUCGGAAUUACUGGGUGUAAAGGGUUCGUAGGCGGUGGGGAAAGUUGGGAGUGAAAUCUCUAGGCUCAACCUAGAGGCUGCUUCCAAAACUGCUCUGCUUGAGUGUGGGAGAGGCGCGUGGAAUUGCAGGUGUAGCGGUGAAAUGCGUAGAUAUCUGCAGGAACACCCGUGGCGAAAGCGGCGCGCUGGACCACUACUGACGCUGAGGAACGAAA
RNAcentral lists this ribosomal RNA (400 nucleotides) under uncultured bacterium. RNAcentral describes it as "bacterial SSU rRNA". It matches the Rfam family "Bacterial small subunit ribosomal RNA", at positions 355 to 758 of the family's 1533-position model. The record is from RNAcentral.